GCGGAUGUGGCGAAAUUGGCAGACGCGCUAGCUUCAGGUGCUAGUGGUAGUGAUACCGUGUGGGUUCAAGUCCCGUCAUCCGCACCA
RNAcentral lists this transfer RNA (87 nucleotides) under Ruminococcus sp. RNAcentral describes it as "tRNA-Leu". It matches the Rfam family "tRNA". Rfam says of the family: Transfer RNA (tRNA) molecules are approximately 80 nucleotides in length. Their secondary structure includes four short double-helical elements and three loops (D, anti-codon, and T loops). Lineage: Bacteria; Bacillati; Bacillota; Clostridia; Eubacteriales; Oscillospiraceae. The record is from RNAcentral.